RNAcentral lists this unclassified non-coding RNA (391 nucleotides) under soil metagenome. RNAcentral describes it as "partial contains 5.8S ribosomal RNA, internal transcribed spacer 2, and large subunit ribosomal RNA". The stretch from base 1 to 122 matches the Rfam family "5.8S ribosomal RNA", at positions 35 to 154 of the family's 154-position model. The record is from RNAcentral.
GAUGAAGAACGUAGCGAAAUGCGAUACUUGGUGUGAAUUGCAGAAUCCCGUGAACCAUCGAGUCUUUGAACGCAAGUUGCGCCCGAAGCCACUAGGCCGAGGGCACGCCUGCCUGGGCGUCACACGCCGUUGCCCCCCCAUCUACUCCUUCGGGAUUGCGGGGGGGCGGAUGAUGGCCUCCUGUGCGCCUAGCCGCGCGGUUGGCAUAAAUACCAAGUCCUCGGCGACGCACGCCACGACAAUUGGUGGUUGCGAAACCUCGGUUGCCCGUCGUGUGCGUUCGUCGCGCAUCGAGGGCUCGAAAAAAUGCUCGGCUCCGGCUGGGCUUUCAACGCGACCCCAGGUCAGGCGGGGUUACCCGCUGAAUUUAAGCAUAUCAAUAAGCGGAGGA